GGGGGGGGGGGGGGGGGGGCGGAGGGCGGGGGGGGGGGACGGGAGGGCCCGGCGUGCGUGGGGUGCUGGAGGGGCGGGCGGGGGGGGAACAAGAGAGUAUCCUGCCCUUGACUUUGGGAUAACUUCAGGAAACUGGGGCUAAUACCGGAUAGGAGCUCCUGCUGCAUGGUGGGGGUUGGAAAGUUUCGGCGGUUGGGGAUGGACUCGCGGCUUAUCAGCUCGCUGGUGGGGUAGUGGCUUACCAAGGCAUUGGCGGGUAGCCGGCCUGAGAGAGUGAGUGGGCCCAUAGGGACUGAGAGACGGACCAGACGACUACGGGCGGCAACAGGGCGGAAUAUUGCACAAUGGGCGGAAGCCUGAUGCAGCAACGCCGCGUGCGGGAUGACGGCCUUCGGGUUGUGAACAGCGUCCGCCUGUGACGAAGCGUGAGUGACGGUAAUGGGUCAAGAAGCACCGGCUAACUACGUG
This 468-nucleotide ribosomal RNA is filed under the name uncultured bacterium. Its description in RNAcentral is "partial 16S ribosomal RNA". The stretch from base 49 to 468 matches the Rfam family "Bacterial small subunit ribosomal RNA", at positions 39 to 507 of the family's 1533-position model. The record is from RNAcentral.